AGAGUUUGAUCCUGGCUCAGGAUGAACGCUGGCGGCGUGCCUAAUACAUGCAAGUCGAACGAAUCUUCUUCGGAAGAUGAGUGGCGAACGGGUGAGUAAUACAUAGGUAACCUGCCCCUGUGCGGGGGAUAACAGGAGGAAACUCCUGCUAAUACCGCAUAGCCAUGAGCACCGCAUGGAGCUCAUGCCAAAUAUCCUUUCGGGGAUAGCGCAGGGAUGGACCUAUGGCGCAUUAGCUAGUUGGCGGGGCAACGGCCCACCAAGGCAACGAUGCGUAGCCGGCCUGAGAGGGCGGACGGCCACAUUGGGACUGAGACACGGCCCAGACUCCUACGGGAGGCAGCAGUAGGGAAUUUUCGGCAAUGGGGGAAACCCUGACCGAGCAACGCCGCGUGAGCGAAGAAGGCCUUCGGGUCGUAAAGCUCUGUUGUAAAGGAAGAACGGCGCAUACAGGAAAUGGUAUGCGAGUGACGGUACUUUACCAGAAAGCCACGGCUAACUACGUGCCAGCAGCCGCGGUAAUACGUAGGUGGCGAGCGUUAUCCGGAAUCAUUGGGCGUAAAGAGGGAGCAGGCGGCCGCAAGGGUCUGUGGUGAAAGACCGAAGCUAAACUUCGGUAAGCCAUGGAAACCGGGCGGCUAGAGUGCGGAAGAGGAUCGUGGAAUUCCAUGUGUAGCGGUGAAAUGCGUAGAUAUAUGGAGGAACACCAGUGGCGAAGGCGACGGUCUGGGCCGCAACUGACGCUCAUUCCCGAAAGCGUGGGGAGCAAAUAGGAUUAGAUACCCUAGUAGUCCACGCCGUAAACGAUGGUCACUAAGUGUCGGGGGUCCAACUCCCGGGGCUGCGGUCCACGCAAUAAG
Molecule: ribosomal RNA, 860 nt
Filed under: uncultured bacterium
Lineage: Bacteria
Description: bacterial SSU rRNA
Rfam family: Bacterial small subunit ribosomal RNA
Source: RNAcentral